UGUGGAUAUGCACUCAGAGUAACAUCACAAACAUAUUACUAAUUUUGUGAUGCUCUUUCAAGCUGUGAUGAAAUUUUUGUCUAGACUUGUUGAGUUCAAAAUUUUGGUUAAUUGGGGAAUGGUCCAUUCUGGCCAGUAAACUAUAUAUUUUUGCAUAAAAAAACGAGGACACGUUGCACCGCCGAGUGACCCUUCUAUUACUGAUCUUUAUCCUGUGACAUAGUGAUGAUACCAGUGCAGGUAGCGACGAUAUCAAGACCUCUGUGGAUUGAGAGGGAUACAACUACCUGAAAAAUUUGGAACUUCGUCGGCAACUCUUCGGUCGAAACGUCGAAGUUCUGCUUAUAUUUUUCAGGUAACCCUCUUAAUCCACAGUGGUCCAGUGUCUUACACCCACGAUACCGAGUUCGCUCAGUGAGCUCCAUAUAUAUAUCUGGAGCGAGAACUCGAGUCUAAAAGGUGAAGCCAGCUUCGUGUUAACCGCGCAGACAAAAACAAUGGAAAAGUACUGGAACUGACGUCGAAAUAGCUCCUUCAAUUUCCGCCAUCUUGGCAAGGAGUGUGCCGAAUUUUCGUAUUUUGACCCCGAUUUAAAGAAUGACACUAUGGUUUUAUGAACUGAUAACUUGGUCAGCGGUACGGUCCGUUAGAAAAAAAACAGGAAUUUGUUGGGGAAAAUGGUAUAAGAGCUGUUUACGACCUUCAGAGCUACUGACGUCAAUAGCCGCCAUCUUGGUUUCACUUUUCUCACAGGCCGAAUGACUGAAGUUCUUGCUACGAUAUACAGGGAUCGCACUGGGUUCCGCUUAUCACGACAUCGAAUUUAGCGGUUUCAGGAAUAUCUUACCACUUAAAAUUGCGAUAAUAGGACAAAAUAAAACGAAAUCUGUUAAACGAAAUCGCAGACAAAAGUCUUAAAGGAUGGAAAGUGAAAGAAUAGAAUAAAGAAUGUCGAUCACUCCUGAAUUGAAUAAACUCCUGUGAUAGAUAGCCACCGUAAGAGUAACCUUCAGUUCCCACUUUGUUGAGCGAGGACGUGUACCCACAUUAGAGAGGUUAAGAUACCCCGGUUUCGGUGUACGUGUACGGGUAGCAUGAUUUUGGUUAGCAAUAUUUUCGUCGAUAUCUGUACCUUUACUCGUAAUUAAGGUGCACAUUUUUCGCAUUAUAUCAUUGUCUAUUGCAAGAGAACAGAAAAAAGUAUGAUCGAAUUACAGACAUCAGUAAAACAAGAUGACACUACUCGUACCCGUACAUCGCUUUUCACUUAAUUUAUCAACAGUAAUAAGCACAUAUCCACUAGCCAAACUUGAUGAGACCGAUAGUUCUGUAAAUCCAAAUACGUUGGUAGUUUCUAUACUUCAUUCAUCUUUCGACACUCCUAACCUCCUCCGCAGGCAACUGUGCAGGGUGGAAAAAUAAUUUUCUUCCUGGGAGCACAACCUGGAGACAAAAAUUUCCUGCAGACCAACGGAGUAUUUUUGUGCUAAAUCUGCAUGUGCAUAAACAUAUAGUGUUCUAUCUGACCGUGUUCUAUCUUUUAAAUUCAAG
RNAcentral lists this long non-coding RNA (1551 nucleotides) under Paramuricea clavata. The record is from RNAcentral. Lineage: Eukaryota; Metazoa; Cnidaria; Anthozoa; Malacalcyonacea; Plexauridae.